Venturia canescens is the source of this 541-nucleotide long non-coding RNA. RefSeq lists it as uncharacterized. The transcript is spliced from 2 exons. The record is from RefSeq and is a predicted model, not a curated record. Lineage: Eukaryota; Metazoa; Arthropoda; Insecta; Hymenoptera; Ichneumonidae.
GAAUCUGAAAGUAGCGCUGAGUAAAAGAGCCGUUCUUAAUCUUACAUGACGUUAAUGCUGAAACAGAAUUGCUCACCGAUGCAUCAACGCAUGUGUACGAGCCGAUGCUGAUGCAAAAAAUUCGUGAUGAUUGUAAAUGAUAUUCCCUCCAAAAUCGUAACCAAUCACCAAGCGUUGGCACUAAGAAUGCGAAAAAAGGACGCGUGUGUUCGUAUGGCUACGUGGGUGUUCUACCUUAAAGAUUUUGACUACACGUUAAAUAAAAAUAAACCUUUGAACGUAUAUUAAAAAUCCUAUAACAUGAGUAGGGUCUGCCUACUUGGAGAAUUUCUCAUCAGCGAUCUUGUGCGAUUGCGCUGUUCAUUGGCACCACCUGGAAUCGACUUCGGUAGGCAGAAAACACUCAAAGUAUGAAUCGAAUGCCCGGCGAGUAACUUAAUAUAUCGUGAGCAAUAUUCCGUGCAACAAGAAGUCGUUCCAGCCGACUUUUCCAGCUUAUCUCAAAUCUAUGCUAAUUUCGAUGAUGCAAUACCAUGUUUUU